This is a long non-coding RNA of Dermacentor silvarum, 268 nucleotides long. RefSeq lists it as uncharacterized. NCBI's taxonomy places the organism in Eukaryota, Metazoa, Arthropoda, Arachnida, Ixodida, Ixodidae. The record is from RefSeq and is a predicted model, not a curated record. The transcript is spliced from 3 exons.
UGUUAACGAAGAAAUGCAGCUCAUUGCCAGUAACGAGUUGAAUAGAACGUGCUUUGGCUCCUAAACGAUGAAAUCUCGAACUUCUUUGCCUGUAACGAGUAGAAUAGCACUAGCUCCAGGUAAUUCAAUCUGAAAUCUGGCCAUUUUCGGGUAACGAGUUCGCAGAACUACAAAUGGUUUAUCAGAAAGAAUUAUGUAUCUUUUCUAUUAGGUGUUAACGAAGAAAUGCAGCUCAUUGCCAUAACGAGUUCAAUAGAACGUGCUUUGG